CUAAGAAUCUUGCGCAAUGGGCGAAAGCCUGACGCAGCAAUUCCGCGUGGGGGACGAAGGCCCUAGGGUUGUAAACCCCUUUUGCGAGGGAAGAAGUUCUGACGGUACCUCGCGAAUAAGCACCGGCUAACUACGUGCCAGCAGCCGCGGUAAUACGUAGGGUGCAAGCGUUGUCCGGAUUUAUUGGGCGUAAAGAGCCCGCAGGCGGCCUGGCAAGUUUCAGGUGAAAUCUCCCGGCUCAACUGGGAGGGGUCCUGGAAAACUGCUGGGCUUGAGGCAGGGAGAGGGAUGUGGAAUUCCCGGUGUAGUGGUGAAAUGCGUAGAUAUCGGGAGGAACACCAGUGGCGAAGGCGGCAUCCUGGCCCUGUCCUGACGCUGAGGGGCGAAAGCGUGGGGAGCAAACCGG
Molecule: ribosomal RNA, 406 nt
Filed under: uncultured bacterium
Lineage: Bacteria
Description: bacterial SSU rRNA
Rfam family: Bacterial small subunit ribosomal RNA
Source: RNAcentral